GCGGAUGUGGUGGAACUGGUAGACACGCUAGAUUCAGGUUCUAGUGUUCGCAAGAACAUGGAGGUUCAAGUCCUCUCAUCCGCA
RNAcentral lists this transfer RNA (84 nucleotides) under Fibrobacter sp. RNAcentral describes it as "tRNA-Leu". It matches the Rfam family "tRNA". Rfam says of the family: Transfer RNA (tRNA) molecules are approximately 80 nucleotides in length. Their secondary structure includes four short double-helical elements and three loops (D, anti-codon, and T loops). Lineage: Bacteria; Pseudomonadati; Fibrobacterota; Fibrobacteria; Fibrobacterales; Fibrobacteraceae. The record is from RNAcentral.